This is a long non-coding RNA of Ictalurus punctatus (channel catfish), 344 nucleotides long. RefSeq lists it as uncharacterized. The transcript is spliced from 2 exons. The record is from RefSeq and is a predicted model, not a curated record. Lineage: Eukaryota; Metazoa; Chordata; Actinopteri; Siluriformes; Ictaluridae.
CCAGGACCCAAGGUUUCCCAGCAGAACAUUGCCCAGAGCAUCGCACUUCCUCCACCGGCAUGCUUUCUUCCCAUAGUGCAUCUCUUCCCAAGGCACUGGUACAUGCAGCAGUAAUGACUUACACGGAGUUUGACCUGCCGAUACUCACAUGCGUGGAGGAGGUGCUGGUGAAGGGCGCAUGAGCGGGCAGAGACGUGAGGUUCGGCAUCGAGGCGCAUGGGAUCUCGGAGCUGGAGACGGAGAGACUACCUCCGAGCACGGCGCUGGGCAAAGGGCCUGCUACGUCGCUGCUGCUGGGGUACGUCACUGUAACACACACAUUUAAAAAAAAGAAAAAGAAUAAA